RNAcentral lists this ribosomal RNA (505 nucleotides) under Cervidellus vexilliger. RNAcentral's name for it is "SSU rRNA". It matches the Rfam family "Eukaryotic small subunit ribosomal RNA", at positions 88 to 590 of the family's 1831-position model. The record is from RNAcentral. Lineage: Eukaryota; Metazoa; Nematoda; Chromadorea; Rhabditida; Cephalobidae.
CGCGAAUAGCUCAUUACAACAGCUAUAAUUUACUUGAUCUUGACACAAUCCUACUUGGAUAACUGUGGUAAUUCUAGAGCUAAUGCAUGCAUUAAAGCUCUGACCUCACGGGAAGAGUGCAUUUAUUAGAACAAAACCAAGCGGCUUCGGCUGUUUCUGGUUGACUCAUAGUAACUGAGCUGAUCGCAUGGUCUUGCACCGGCGACGUGUCUUUCAAGUAUCUGCCGUAUCAACUUUCGAUGGUAGUGUAUCUGACUACCAUGGUGAUCACGCGUAACGGAGAAUAAGGGUUCGGCUCCGGAGAGUUCGCCUGAGAAAUCGCGAACACAUCUAAGGAAGGCAGCAGGCGCGAAAAUUACCCACUCUCAGCACGAGGAGGUAGUGACGAAAAAUAACGAGACCGUUCUCUUAUGAGGCCGGUCAUCGGAAUGGGUACAAUUUAAACCCUUUAACGAGUAUCUAUGAGAGGGCAAGUCUGGUGCCAGCAGCCGCGGUAAUUCCAGCU